AUGAUAUGUACGUGUUUUGCUGACGUCGUCGGCAUCAUGCCCAGGCAACCAGGAUCUUCAAGGUUGCGACACGUCAAUCGUGUUGAUUCGCCCAAGACCGCUGAGCUUCUGGUAGCGCGGUCGGUCGACAAUCGUCGAUAGAAGC
Molecule: non-coding RNA, 145 nt
Filed under: Pseudomonas veronii
Lineage: Bacteria; Pseudomonadati; Pseudomonadota; Gammaproteobacteria; Pseudomonadales; Pseudomonadaceae
Rfam family: radC RNA
Source: RNAcentral